AUUCAACUGAUGAGCCCCAAAUAGGACGAAACGCGCGUCCUGGAU
Molecule: non-coding RNA, 45 nt
Organism: Schistosoma haematobium
Lineage: Eukaryota; Metazoa; Platyhelminthes; Trematoda; Strigeidida; Schistosomatidae
Source: Rfam